RNAcentral lists this long non-coding RNA (400 nucleotides) under Nicotiana benthamiana. RNAcentral's name for it is "long non-coding RNA (NBEN_LNC026720)". Lineage: Eukaryota; Viridiplantae; Streptophyta; Magnoliopsida; Solanales; Solanaceae. The record is from RNAcentral.
GAAGAAGAGUUGUAGACAGGCUUAUCUAAGUGAGGCGAAUUAUCGGUAUAUUUGGUGGGUGAUUUCUGGUCUAUGGGAGUACCUGAUAGUUCACUGCUGGAUUUGAUAGAGAAGGUUAGGACUUGGAUAUCGUGGGGUAUGAGUGAUCCAACUUCAUUGGCGGGCGGACGCGAUAUGGAUGUUGACAGUUGCAAAACCUGUUAUGAAUGCAAGAUGAAUGGCGGACGCGAUAUGGAUGUUAACAGUUGCAAAACCUGUUAUGAAUGCAAGAUGAAGUUUACUGAUUCUUGCCUCAAGUUCCAUUGCUUAAGAUGCAGUCGAGUAUUCUGCAAUGAUUGUGUGGGCAUUUUUGGCUCUUCGGAUGUUGUUGCAUCUGGAUCAGGAGAAUCAGAAAGCUUGG